CCUACGGGGAGCAGCAGUGAGGAAUAUUGGUCAAUGGGAGGAAUCCUGAACCAGCCAUGCCGCGUGCAGGACGACGGCUCUACGAGUUGUAAACUGCUUUUGUACCGGGGUAAAAUGCUCUACGAGUAGGGUUUUGAAAGUACGGUAUGAAUAAGGAUCGGCUAACUCCGUGCCAGCAGCCGCGGUAAUACGGAGGAUCCGAGCGUUAUCCGGAUUUAUUGGGUUUAAAGGGAGCGUAAAUGGGUUGUUAAGUCAGUUGUGAAAGUUUGCGGCUCAACCGUAAAAUUGCAAUUGAUACUGGCAGCCUUGAGUACAGUUGAGGUAGGCGGAAUUCGUGGUGUAGCGGUGAAAUGCUUAGAUAUCACGAAGAACUCCGAUUGCGAAGGCAGCUUACUAAACUGCCACUGACAUUGAUGCUCGAAAGUGUGGGUAUCAAACAGGAUUAGAUACCCUGGUAGUC
Molecule: ribosomal RNA, 460 nt
Filed under: uncultured bacterium
Lineage: Bacteria
Description: partial 16S ribosomal RNA
Rfam family: Bacterial small subunit ribosomal RNA
Source: RNAcentral